CUAAACGCCAAUUUUCUCUUCUUGCAGAGUCUCUCUGCUUCUCCCAUUAGAUCCAAUCGCAUUAGAUUCCAUGCCCCAUUAUGGCAUGGUGCUUUGUCGGAUUUUUUCUGCAAUUUUUACUAGGUAACGAAUUACUCAUGCUUUUAGUAUUUGCAGUAAGCACGAUGUUGUGGGCACAUAAAUACUCCUCCUAUAUUGAAGCUUCAAUUUUGUGCAAGGUAACAUUUUGUAGUCUUAAAUUUAUGUAGAUAAUGGGUAUGUUAAGGACUUCAGGAAUUUUAAUGCCACCAAAAGGGUUGCAUAUGUUGAUCUCUCUCGAUGCUUUUUUUUUCAUUUUACUUUGAAAUUCUAUUAAGUCUAGAGGACUUUGAAUAUGAUAUAGAGAGGAGAUGACGUUUUAUCUCAUACUUGGUUAAGUAACUCCCUUUGUAUUGUUACAAACAAAAUUGGAACAAAUAGAAUCAAUGAACAUACAACUAAAGAUUAGUUAACCCUUGAGUCCAUGUAUGUCUGUACUCGUCAAUACUGGCCUCUUUCUUUUUUCUCAUUUUAGUGAGUUAUUGGUUAUGUAAGGCAAUACCUCUCAUAACCUACUAUUUUAUACUCUUUUUUGAAGAACACAGUAGUACUCCGUAAAGUAGCGAUGCAAAUAGUAGUACUUUUACUGCGUCACUAACAAAGUGAUAAGAUCUUUAAGCCAAACAAAAUUAGGGAAAGAAAGAGGAUAAGAGAAGCUAAUCAACAUGUUAACAAUAGCUAUCUCCUAAUCAUGUGCUUCAUCUAGAAUCUAUGUGCUCGAGGUAGUGUGUCCUUCCACAAGUUUCUCUUGAUCAAAUGCAUCUAUAUGUUGUCCAUCUAGGGUUCAAAUAAUUCCCCAUUCAAUUAACUAUUAAAGUAAAUUUCUUUAUGUUUUUCUGCUAUUUGUCUAUGUUAAGAUCCUCAUUCGAUGAAAGAAGCUCAUGAUAAGGAUGCCAAAUCCAUGAUCAUAUGGAAAUGGCCGAGAAACAAGCACUGUUGUUGCAAUGGUGCCUCAAAUUUUGACAGGAAACAAGUGAUCGUCAUCUUGCAAACACAAACCAUGUCAACAAGAUCUUAAAUGCAUGGUCAAGUUUUACCCCUUAUUAGAGUUCUUGGCAAGUGAAAAGAUGUGGUUCAUCCUUUUUUAUAUUUUUUUAAAAGGGUAAGCCGCAAAGCUGUAUUGCUCAUUUAUGUUUCUUUGUGUAUUUUUUUAAUAAAAGUAAGGUAAUAUUUACGUU
Long non-coding RNA from Nicotiana attenuata, 1256 nucleotides. RefSeq lists it as uncharacterized. NCBI's taxonomy places the organism in Eukaryota, Viridiplantae, Streptophyta, Magnoliopsida, Solanales, Solanaceae. The transcript has 2 exons. The record is from RefSeq and is a predicted model, not a curated record.